UUAAACGCAAUGAUCGGGAAAAGUAAGUUGUGCAAGUCAUACAGAGAGGAAUUCCUAGGCUGAGAGAAUUCUAUGAUGCAGUAUAACCGAAGUGCCCCCGAGAGCGUUAGGCCGAAAUUCAGUAGGCUGAGACGGGUUCUCCCGUUAUAGAGAUAUGGUGUGUUGGCACCUGAAGAAUGAGAUGGGCAUUUUUUGCCUAAUCAGAGUGGAACCGUGGAAGUAAACUUCUGCCUCUGUA
Molecule: non-coding RNA, 238 nt
Filed under: Caloramator mitchellensis
Lineage: Bacteria; Bacillati; Bacillota; Clostridia; Eubacteriales; Clostridiaceae
Description: T-box sequence
Rfam family: T-box leader
About the family: Uncharged tRNA acts as the effector for transcription antitermination of genes in the T-box leader family. T-boxes are found upstream of many aminoacyl-tRNA synthetase genes and some amino acid biosynthetic genes usually in Gram-positive bacteria.
Source: RNAcentral